This 460-nucleotide ribosomal RNA is filed under the name uncultured bacterium. Its description in RNAcentral is "partial 16S ribosomal RNA". It matches the Rfam family "Bacterial small subunit ribosomal RNA", at positions 338 to 795 of the family's 1533-position model. The record is from RNAcentral.
CCUACGGGGGGCAGCAGUGAGGAAUAUUGGUCAAUGGACGAGAGUCUGAACCAGCCAAGUAGCGUGAAGGAUGACUGCCCUAUGGGUUGUAAACUUCUUUUAUAUGGGAAUAAAAUGUUCCACGUGUGGGUUUUUGUAUGUACCAUAUGAAUAAGGAUCGGCUAACUCCGUGCCAGCAGCCGCGGUAAUACGGAGGAUCCGAGCGUUAUCCGGAUUUAUUGGGUUUAAAGGGAGCGUAGGUGGGUUGUUAAGUCAGUUGUGAAAGUUUGCGGCUCAACCGUAAAAUUGCAGUUGAUACUGGCAGUCUUGAGUACAGUAGAGGUAGGCGGAAUUCGUGGUGUAGCGGUGAAAUGCUUAGAUAUCACGAAGAACUCCGAUUGCGAAGGCAGCUCACUGGACUGCAACUGACACUGAGUCUCGAAAGUGUGGGUAUCAAACAGGAUUAGAUACCCUAGUAGUC